UACAGAGGGGGCCAGCGUUAUUCGGAAUUAUUGGGCGUAAAGGGCGCGUAGGCGGCCAUGCUUGUCUUCCGUGAAAUCCCUCGGCUUAACUGAGGACGUGCGGAAGAAACUGCAAGGCUCGAGUCCGGGAGAGGGGGGUGGAAUUCCCAGUGUAGCGGUGAAAUGCGUAGAUAUUGGGAGGAACACCAAUUGCGAAGGCAGCUCGCUGGGACGUUACUGACGCUGAGACGCGAAAGCGUGGGGAGCAAACAGG
This 253-nucleotide ribosomal RNA is filed under the name uncultured bacterium. Its description in RNAcentral is "partial 16S ribosomal RNA". It matches the Rfam family "Bacterial small subunit ribosomal RNA", at positions 524 to 776 of the family's 1533-position model. The record is from RNAcentral.